UGUCGCUCUGAGAGUGCUCGCUACCGGUUGCUCAGAGCAAAGUGUUACAGCCAGUUAUCGACUUGGCACAUCAACUGUGUCUGAAUAUUGUCUCAGAGGUAUGCCAAGCCAUAUGGAGGGUUCUGCAGCCUGAAUAUGUGGCUUUCCCCACUGGACAUCAGUGGACAGUUAUUGCACGUGACUUUUGGCGAUUCUGGGAUUAUCCUAACCUUUUGGGUCUAUUAUCUACCUGUCCAUCACUGUAUUUAUACAUAUCUAUCACUAACCAACAUUAUAUUUCCAUCCAUCACUUGCUAACAAUUCUAUUUAAUCUCAUCUAUCAGGAGCCUUGGAUGGGAAACACAUCAGGAUACGUUGCCCUCCGGGGAGUGAUUUUUUUAACUACAAAGGGACACACUCCGUAGUCCUCCUGGCUGUGUGUGACGCCCAUUAUAGAUGACGUCAGAGUGAUGGUGGCAUCUUCCAGGACAGUGAGUUUGGUCGCAAACUCAUGAGUGGCACACUGGACAUACCACCACCUGAUGUCCUACCCUGGCUCAAAUCUGGGAGAACCGGAGCAGGUAUACAACUACCGCCACAGCAGAGCUUGGAGAACUACUGAGAAUGCUUUUGGCAUCCUGUCAGCUGCACAACUGAGUAUCAUCCCUCCCAGACCGUACAAGUGGUCAAAGCAUGUGUAGCGCUACACAACUGGCUAACCCACACCGAUGACCGUCGUCAGUACAUUCCACCAAACUACGCUGACACCACUACCCCAUCAGGAGACAUUUUGCCAGGUGAAUGGAGGCAGACAGCUGGAGCAGACAACCUCUCUGAGAUCAGAAGAUCAAGGGCUACCAGGAGUGCUGGCAGAACAGCAUAUGCUUUUCGGAACAAUAUACGAGACUUCUUCUCAUCCCCUCAUGGUCUUGUGCCAUGGCAAACUGCCACCAUAAGAAGAGGCAGAUUGAACAUUCAGUAGUGUUCA
Molecule: long non-coding RNA, 967 nt
Organism: Epinephelus fuscoguttatus (brown-marbled grouper)
Lineage: Eukaryota; Metazoa; Chordata; Actinopteri; Perciformes; Serranidae
Exons: 4
Source: RefSeq, a predicted model, not a curated record